AUUGAACGCUGGCGGCAGGCCUAACACAUGCAAGUCGAGCGGAUGAAGGGAGCUUGCUCCUGGAUUCAGCGGCGGACGGGUGAGUAAUGCCUAGGAAUCUGCCUGGUAGUGGGGGAUAACGUCCGGAAACGGGCGCUAAUACCGCCUACGUCCUGAGGGAGAAAGUGGGGGAUCUUCGGACCUCACGCUAUCAGAUGAGCCUAGGUCGGAUUAGCUAGUUGGUGGGGUAAAGGCCUACUAAGGCGACGAUCCGUAACUGGUCUGAGAGGAGGAUCAGUCACACUGGAACUUAGACACGGUCCGGACGCCUGCGGGAGGCAGCAGUGGGGAAUAGUGGGCAAUGGGCGAAAACCUUAUCCAGCCAUGCCGCGUGUGUGAAGAAGGUCUUCGGAUUGUAAAGCACUUUAAGUUGUGAGGAAGGGCAGUAAGUUAAUACCUUGCUGUUUUGACGUUACCAACAGAAUAAGCACCGGCUAACUUCGUG
Molecule: ribosomal RNA, 484 nt
Filed under: uncultured bacterium
Lineage: Bacteria
Description: partial 16S ribosomal RNA
Rfam family: Bacterial small subunit ribosomal RNA
Source: RNAcentral